Molecule: long non-coding RNA, 1524 nt
Filed under: Ficedula albicollis (Collared flycatcher)
Lineage: Eukaryota; Metazoa; Chordata; Aves; Passeriformes; Muscicapidae
Description: lncRNA (ENSFALG00000023342.1)
Source: RNAcentral
AUGACGUGCCGUGAGGAGGUCAGGGUGGGCGGCAGCUGGUGGCCGCAGAACCUGCCGAGGGAUGGGACGAGGGGGGUGACCAGCACCUCCCCAAACUCUGCCUUUUGGUGGCUCCUCCCCACCAGCCAGCCCCGCGCCUCAGUUUCCCCAGGUGUGUCGCCAGGGUGGCACAGCCGGCCUGGCGGUGCCGGGUACCUGCCCAUGAGGCUGGCGGUCCCCGUGCCCGCGCUGUCGUGCACCUCCACGAAGUCGAAGCUGCAGUCGUCGUGCGACUCCAGGCUGAAGUUGUGGAAGUGCAGGUCGAUGACGUGGCCCAAGGGCACCGAGAUCUGCCAGAGGCACAGCUGGGGCGGGGGGGCAGCCGGCGACACCCGUGAAGCUGGGCAGGGGCACCCCCAGCUCUCCCCGGGGUGUGCCUUCCUCCCUACUCGCCCUCACCCUCACCCUGCUCCCACAGGAUCCCUUCUCUCACCUGCUGGUGCGGGUAUGGCUGGGGGUGGUUCGGGGUGGACAGGCGCCCCUCCAAGGCGGUCAUUGGCCCCCCACACUCUGCAGGGACACAGACACACCAGAUUUACCUGCCCACUCCCCGCCCAUCCCCGGGUGCCGCGGGCUCUGGGGGCUGCAGGUGAGGGUCUGUCCCGCCCACCUUUGUGUUUCAGGCUGCAGUUGGCCUCGUCGCUCCUGUCCGUGCAGUCGUGGAAGCCGUCGCACACGAAGCCCAGCUGGAGGCAGAGCCCCUGGUCACACAAGUGCUCGUCCCAGGCGCAGCUCUCUGCACGCAGCCACAGACACCCAGGCUGGCGGGGGGGUCCCAGCGGGCACCCUCCCCUCCCCGCCGGCUGUCCCCAGCCCGGAGGGACCCUGGCAGUGCCCUGGCGCGGGGGACUCACUCUCGGCCGGGGUCACGGCGCGGUAGCGGGCGCUGAAGCCCUGGGCACCCACGCUGCUGUCGGACACGAAGGUGACGCGCAGGCGAUUGGAGGCGGUGUUGAAGGUCGGGGGGGGCACAUUGCCGCAAAACCUGGGGGCACAGCAAGGGCUGGCACCGCUCGCUGCCCCCGCCCCGCCGCACGCCCACUCUGCCCAGGUGAGAGGAGCCGUACCUGGUCGGGCUCCCCCGAGCCGGGGCCGUGCCAGCCGCGCCCGGGGGGGGGGGGGGGGGGGGGGGGGGGGGGGGGGGGGGGGGGGGGGGGGGGGGGGGGGGGGGGGGGGGGGGGGGGGGGGGGGGGGGGGGGGGGGGGGGGGGGGGGGGGGGGGGGGGGGGGGAGAGGAGCCGUACCUGGUCGGGCUCCCCCGAGCCGGGGCUGUGCCAGCCGCGCCCUGCUCUUCGUAGAGCUCCAGGCGGUCGAAGAGGCAGGAGGCCGUGCCCUCCACGCUGAACGACUCCAUCCUCAGCUGGAUGGCGAGGCCGGUGCCCACCUCGAUGCGCCAGAUGCAGAGGGCGUUGGGCGGGUAGGGGCCGGGGUAGUUGGGGGAGCUGAAGGAGCCCUCGGGGGCCCGCAGGGUCCCUCCGCAGGCUGA